UACUAGAGUAGCACUCGCAUAUCAAUAAGCGGAGGAAAAGAAACUAACAAGGAUUCCCCUAGUAACGGCGAGUGAAGCGGGAAGAGCUCAAAUUUGAAAUCUUAAAGGGUUUCCCUUUACGAAUUGUAGUUUAAAGAAGUGUUUUCUGUUGAGGUUUUGGUAAAAGUUCUUUGGAAUAGGACAUCAUAGAGGGUGAGAAUCCCGUAUUUGACCUUUACUUUCAACUUUGUGAUACACUUUCAAAGAGUCGGAUCGUUUGGGAAUGCAGUCCAAAAUAGGUGGUAAAUUUCAUCUAAAGCUAAAUAUUGGCGAGAGACCGAUAGCGAACAAGUACCGUGAGGGAAAGAUGAAAAGAACUUUGAAAAGAGAGUUAAACAGUACGUGAAAUUGUCAAAAGGGAAGCGUUUGACACCAGUGUUGUUUUUCUGAAAAUCAAUUAAAGAACUGUUUAUGCUAAGCUGUUUAGACUUUAUCAGCUAUCUGUUUAGUUUUGAGCUUUUCUUUAAUGCACUUUUCAGUUAACAAGUCAACAUCAAUUUCUUUUGCUGUAAAAAAGCUUGAGGAAGGUGGCUUGAGAUUCGUCUUAAGUGUUUAUAGCCUCUUGCCUAUGCAGUCGGAGAGAUUGAGGUCUGCAGCGUAGAUCCUUCGGGGCUAAAUGCAUUUGUGCUAAGUUAUAGCAUUUUAUAGACAACUUGUUGACUAUGAUUUGUCUUGUAGCUUACUCGCUUAUGUUAUUUUACCUACGCUUAGGAUGUUGAACUACUGAGACAUAGA
RNAcentral lists this ribosomal RNA (774 nucleotides) under uncultured Neocallimastigales. Its description in RNAcentral is "partial large subunit ribosomal RNA". It matches the Rfam family "Eukaryotic large subunit ribosomal RNA", at positions 20 to 644 of the family's 3401-position model. Lineage: Eukaryota; Fungi; Neocallimastigomycota; Neocallimastigomycetes; Neocallimastigales. The record is from RNAcentral.